This 253-nucleotide ribosomal RNA is filed under the name uncultured bacterium. RNAcentral describes it as "partial 16S ribosomal RNA". It matches the Rfam family "Bacterial small subunit ribosomal RNA", at positions 524 to 776 of the family's 1533-position model. The record is from RNAcentral.
UACAGGGGGGGCAAGCGUUGUUCGGAAUUACUGGGCGUAAAGGGCGCGUAGGCGGCCUUCUAAGUCGAACGUGAAAUCCCCGGGCUCAACCCGGGAACUGCGUCCGAUACUGGGAGGCUUGAAUCCGGGAGAGGGAUGUGGAAUUCCAGGUGUAGCGGUGAAAUGCGUAGAUAUCUGGAGGAACACCGGUGGCGAAGGCGGCAUCCUGGACCGGUAUUGACGCUGAGGCGCGAAAGCCAGGGGAGCAAACGGG